AUUGAACGCUGGCGGAAUGCUUUACACAUGCAAGUCGAACGGCAGCACGGGGGCAACCCUGGUGGCGAGUGGCGAACGGGUGAGUAAUACAUCGGAACGUGCCCAGUCGUGGGGGGAUAACUACGCGAAAGCGUAGCUAAUACCGCAUACGAACUGAGGUUGAAAGCGGGGGACCGUAAGGCCUCGCGCGAUUGGAGCGGCCGAUGGCAGAUUAGGUAGUUGGUGGGGUAAAGGCCUACCAAGCCGACGAUCUGUAGCUGGUCUGAGAGGACGACCAGCCACACUGGGACUGAGACACGGCCCAGACUCCUACGGGAGGCAGCAGUGAGGAAUAUUGGACAAUGGGCGCAAGCCUGAUCCAGCCAUUCCGCGUGCAGGAUGAAGGCCUUCGGUUGGUAACUAGCUUUGGUACGGUAACGAAAAGACGUACUUUACUAAUAACUAGAGUAGGUC
This 453-nucleotide ribosomal RNA is filed under the name uncultured bacterium. RNAcentral's name for it is "bacterial SSU rRNA". It matches the Rfam family "Bacterial small subunit ribosomal RNA", at positions 30 to 479 of the family's 1533-position model. The record is from RNAcentral.